AUUCCUUGAAGCCCGUGAGACCACGAACCCUCUGAUGGAGAAAAGACCUUCCAUUGGGAGAAGACUUCUCAUCUUAUUUCCACCUAUAAUCUCUUCAAAACAUAGCAGUCAGAGUUAUCUGCUGAACUCACAAGUCACUCAUCUGCUCAAAGCCUCCCGGUGGCUUCUCAUCUCACAGAAUCCAAGUCUACCUUCCUGGAGCCUCUAUAUACUAAUUGUUUUGCUCAACAAAGAACACACACAGUGUUGACUCCAUCUUUUAUAUGAUGCCUCACCACAAUGUUUCAUUGGCCAGUGCAAAAGAAACCGGGACGCUUCCUCAUACUGCACAUCUUUAUCUGAGAACCAAAGGACAAAUAUGGGUGUCACAUGCCAGCUCCUUCUACCUCCUUCUGAAACCAGAGGGCUGGAUUGGGACCGUGCUGUUUAGUUCACAGAUUUCAGGGAAAGUGAAUUCUGAAUAAUCAUUUUUAUUAGAUCUUCCUAUGUGUAAAAAUCUUUGGUGAGAUUUACAAUCUCAUUUAAAGUUCUUUCACAAUUUUCAUGAAAAUUGAGUGAUGUGUAAUAAAUAAGUUAUUUUUUUCCUUUAUAGCUAAUGCUUGACUUUUUUUCCUUUGAUAAUAUAGCUUAUGAAGCAGAUAAAUAUGCCAAUACCCUUGAUUUUAAGUCUUUCAAAUAAAAGACCACAG
This 689-nucleotide long non-coding RNA is filed under the name Pongo abelii (Sumatran orangutan). RNAcentral's name for it is "lincRNA". Lineage: Eukaryota; Metazoa; Chordata; Mammalia; Primates; Hominidae. The record is from RNAcentral.